RNAcentral lists this ribosomal RNA (449 nucleotides) under uncultured bacterium. RNAcentral's name for it is "partial 16S ribosomal RNA". It matches the Rfam family "Bacterial small subunit ribosomal RNA", at positions 29 to 523 of the family's 1533-position model. The record is from RNAcentral.
AACGAACGCUGGCGGCAGGCCUAACACAUGCAAGUCGAACGCCGUAGCAAUACGGAGUGGCAGACGGGUGAGUAACGCGUGGGAACCUUCCCUAUGGUUCGGAAUAGCUCAGGGAAACCUGGGGUAAUACCGGAUGAGCCCUUCGGGGGAAAGAUUUAUCGCCAUUGGAUGGGCCCGCGUAGGAUUAGCUAGUUGGUGAGGUAAUGGCUCACCAAGGCGACGAUCCUUAGCUGGUCUGAGAGGAUGAUCAGCCACACUGGGACUGAGACACGGCCCAGACUCCUACGGGAGGCAGCAGUGGGGAAUAUUGGACAAUAGGCGCAAGCCUGAUCCAGCCAUGCCGCGUGAGUGACGAAGGCCUUAGGGUUGUAAAGCUCUUUUGGCGGGGAAGAUAAUGACGGUACCCGCAGAAUAAGCUCCGGCUAACUUCGUGCCAGCAGCCGCGGUAA